RNAcentral lists this unclassified non-coding RNA (200 nucleotides) under Ascomycota sp. RNAcentral's name for it is "partial internal transcribed spacer 2". The record is from RNAcentral. Lineage: Eukaryota; Fungi; Ascomycota.
UUAAGUUCAGCGGGUAUCCCUACCUGAUCCGAGGUCAAACAUAGAAAUUGGGGGGUUGCUGGCUAGCAUCCACCGGGACCCUAUAGCGAGAAAGAUUACUACGCUUAGAGCCAGAUGGCGCCGCCACUGGUUUUAAGGGCCGCCGGUAAGGCGGGCCCCAAGACCCCUUGCGGGAUGUGUUUAUAUGACGCUCGAACAGG